UCGGGAAUUUUGGGCAAUGGGGGAAACCCUGACCCAGCAACGCCGCGUGAAGGAUGAAGUAUUUCGGUAUGUAAACUUCGAAAGAAUAGGAAGAAUAAAUGACGGUACUAUUUAUAAGGUCCGGCUAACUACGUGCCAGCAGCCGCGGUAAUACGUAGGGACCAAGCGUUGUUCGGAUUUACUGGGCGUAAAGGGCGCGUAGGCGGCAUGACAAGUCACUUGUGAAAUCUCUGGGCUUAACCCAGAACGGCCAAGUGAUACUGUCGCGCUAGAGUGCAGAAGGGGCAAUCGGAAUUCUUGGUGUAGCGGUGAAAUGCGUAGAUAUCGGGAGGAACACCUGUGGCGAAGGCGGCCAUCUGGUUGGAUACUGACGUUGAGACGCGAAAGCGUGGGGAGCAAACAGGAUUAGAUACCCGUGUAGUCCCUGAGCGGGCUGGCAAGGCGCAU
This 447-nucleotide ribosomal RNA is filed under the name uncultured bacterium. RNAcentral describes it as "bacterial SSU rRNA". It matches the Rfam family "Bacterial small subunit ribosomal RNA", at positions 355 to 825 of the family's 1533-position model. The record is from RNAcentral.